GAUGAACGCUAGCUACAGGCUUAACACAUGCAAGUCGAGGGGCAGCGGGAUUGAAGCUUGCUUCAAUUGCCGGCGACCGGCGCACGGGUGAGUAACGCGUAUCCAACCUUCCGUACACUCAGGGAUAGCCUUUCGAAAGAAAGAUUAAUACCUGAUGGUAUGAUGAGAUUGCAUGAUAGCAUCAUUAAAGAUUUAUCGGUGUACGAUGGGGAUGCGUUCCAUUAGGUAGUAGGCGGGGUAACGGCCCACCUAGCCUACGAUGGAUAGGGGUUCUGAGAGGAAGGCCCCCCCANAUUGGAACUGAGACACGGUCCAAACUCCUACGGGAGGCAGCAGUGAGGAAUAUUGGGUCAAUGGGACGAGAGUCUGAACCAGCCAAGUAGCGUGAAGGAUGACUGCCCUACGGAUUGUAAACUUCUUUAUAAGGGAAUAAACCCUCCACGUGUGGGAGCUUGUAUGUACCUUAUGAAUAAGCAUCGGCUAACUCCGUGCCAGCA
This 497-nucleotide ribosomal RNA is filed under the name uncultured bacterium. RNAcentral's name for it is "bacterial SSU rRNA". It matches the Rfam family "Bacterial small subunit ribosomal RNA", at positions 28 to 513 of the family's 1533-position model. The record is from RNAcentral.